Molecule: long non-coding RNA, 525 nt
Organism: Mauremys reevesii (Reeves's turtle)
Lineage: Eukaryota; Metazoa; Chordata; Testudines; Geoemydidae
Exons: 2
Source: RefSeq, a predicted model, not a curated record
UCCUGCUCAUUCCAGCACCCCUGGGCCAGGGCCAGUCCUGCUCUGAAGCACUUGGCCUCAGCUGGCGUCUCGGCCCGGAUCUGGGGACGUGCGCCUCUGGAGUUGCUGGCUGGACGAGGAUCUGGGCAGCUGGGAGCCACUUCCCCUGGCACUGGCUCUCCAGGCACAAUCCAUGCACAAGGUACUGAAGACUGUGGGGCUUAUGGGGAGCCCAGUGAGCCAGAAGCCGAGAUGUUCAAGCAGCUUCCAGCUGCACAGCCGGGAGCAGCAGCUGCGGCUGAUCAGGGACUGUCCCUCCCGGCCGAGGAGGAGAUCCUCGCUGGUCCCACCCCAUGAGCCCAUCGUUGAGCACCCUGAUGAGGAUUGUGAGUCAGAUCCAGGCCCCAGUGCAGCUCCUGGGGAUCCCUGCUUUGCCAGGGGCCCUGCCGAGGCCCUGGCACUUGGCCCACCUUCCUAGCACCACGUGCCCGGUGGGUGCCGAGGGACGCGGGUUCAGAGGGAGCUAUUAAAAGACAAUGUCCUGAG